RNAcentral lists this ribosomal RNA (433 nucleotides) under uncultured bacterium. Its description in RNAcentral is "partial 16S ribosomal RNA". It matches the Rfam family "Bacterial small subunit ribosomal RNA", at positions 29 to 507 of the family's 1533-position model. The record is from RNAcentral.
AAUGAAGGCUGGCUGCAUGUCUAAGAGAUGCAAGUCGAACGAUGCCAUCUGUUCUUGUUUUUAGUGGAGUCGGGGCUCGUGGGAACUUGCCCGGAGGGUCGGUAUAACUCGCCGACGUGGGUCGUAAGACCGGGUCUUCUCUACUGACCAAAGUUUUAUCGCCUUUGGAUGGGCCCGCGUUGUAUUAGCUAGUUGGUAGGGUAAAAGCCUACCAAGGCGACGUUCGAUAGCUGGUCUGAGAGGAGGAUCAGCCACACUGGGACUGAGACACGGCCCAGGCUCCUACGGGAGGCAGCAGUGGGGAAUAUUGGACAAUGGGCGAAAGCCUGAUCCAGCAAUGCCGCGUGAGUGAUGAAGGCCUUAGGGUUGUAAAGCUCUUUUACACGGGAUGAUAAUGACAGUACCGGGAGAAUAAGCUCCGGCUAACUCCGUG